Long non-coding RNA from Marmota monax (woodchuck), 947 nucleotides. RefSeq lists it as uncharacterized. The transcript has 2 exons. The record is from RefSeq and is a predicted model, not a curated record. Lineage: Eukaryota; Metazoa; Chordata; Mammalia; Rodentia; Sciuridae.
GACCGGGGAGGGGAUGGAGGAGCGGGGGCCGGGGACAAGGAGAGCUCCGGUGGGGAUCUGACCCACUGCGCUGGGCUCACAAGGAGUGAGUGAGUCUUGGGACCCUGUCACCUCCCCACGACUGGAAUCAGUGGCUUUAACCCACUGUGUCCUCCCCAAACCAGCACCGGUCUGAGCCCUGUGUGUCCCCCAGUGCUGAGCUCAGUCCAGCUCAGACCCCGAACCAGGGGAUGCCUGGGAGGAGUUGCCAUGGCAACACAUUUGCUGGUGCAGAGAGAGAGCCCUGCUGACCAGUGCCCAGCCCCCGGCUGACCCUGGAGGAGGGGGCAGGAACUGGCAGCAGCUCGGGGCUGGCGCUGGGGCACUUGGCUCUGGACGUGCCACCUCUGGCCGGAUCUCUUGGUUCUCCACGUGACCCCUGCGGGUGCAGUCCCUCUGGGAGAUGUCCUCUUCUGUUUUCCUUGGGCUCCUCCUUCUGCUGCUGGGCGGUUUGGAAAGUGACACACGAGGAAACCGAGGCACCGAGAGAGCAGCAGCCACUGGACCUCCAAAGAGAGGACACACAGCUGGGUGUCGCGGUUCUGCAGAGGCCCCGCACCCUGAGCUCGGGUGGCAUCUCACCAGUCCUUCGGAAGGAUGAGACUGUCUGUCCCCGGCGGGGGCUUCAGGGGGCACCCCUAAGGAAGGCCCCACAGCAGGGUUUCCAGCCCCCGCCCCUGGGCACCCCCUGGCCACCCCUGCGCAUGCGCCCUCCGCAGGGAGCCCCUCCUCCAGCAGGACCGGGCCUGGCCUCACCCACUUGCUCCGGGCCAGGGCCAAGAGUUAACGUGGGAAGGGAGCUGGAGAGCGAGAGGACACGUCCAAUCAAUCAUAUUUAAACAAAAGCCUCUCCCGCCCAAGGGCCCUUUUAAAAGCUGCUUAUUUAAUUAAAAGUCCCAUUUUCCAUA